AGAGCGAACGCUGGCGGCAGGCCUAACACAUGCAAGUCGAGCGCCCGUAGCAAUACGGGAGCGGCAGACGGGAUAGUAACACGUGGGAACGCGCCCUUCGGUUCGGAAUAACUCAGGGAAACUUGAGCUAAUACCGGAUACGCCCUUACGGGGAAAGAUUUAUUGCCGAAGGAACGGCCCGCGUCCGAUUAGCUAGUUGGUGAGGUAAUGGCUCACCAAGGCGACGAUCGGUAGCUGGUCUGAGAGGACGAUCAGCCACACUGGGACUGAGACACGGCCCAGACUCCUACGGGAGGCAGCAGUGGGGAAUCUUGCGCAAUGCGCGAAAGCGUGACGCAGCAACGCCGCGUGGGGGAAGACGGCCUUCGGGUUGUAAACCCCUUUCAGUUGGGACGAAGCUCCGCCGGUGAAUAGCCGGCUGGAGUGACGGUACCUUCAGAAGAGCCCGGCUAACUACGCGCCAGCAGCCGC
RNAcentral lists this ribosomal RNA (471 nucleotides) under uncultured bacterium. RNAcentral's name for it is "partial small subunit ribosomal RNA". It matches the Rfam family "Bacterial small subunit ribosomal RNA", at positions 26 to 518 of the family's 1533-position model. The record is from RNAcentral.